Molecule: ribosomal RNA, 460 nt
Filed under: uncultured bacterium
Lineage: Bacteria
Description: partial 16S ribosomal RNA
Rfam family: Bacterial small subunit ribosomal RNA
Source: RNAcentral
CCUACGGGAGGCAGCAGUGAGGAAUAUUGGUCAAUGGACGAGAGUCUGAACCAGCCAAGUAGCGUGAAGGAUGACUGCCCUAUGGGUUGUAAACUUCUUUUAUAUGGGAAUAAAAUGUUCCACGUGUGGGAUUUUGUAUGUACCCUAUGAAUAAGGAUCGGCUAACUCCGUGCCAGCAGCCGCGGUAAUACGGAGGAUCCGAGCGUUAUCCGGAUUUAUUGGGUUUAAAGGGAGCGUAGGUGGAUUGUUAAGUCAGUUGUGAAAGUUUGCGGCUCAACCGUAAAAUUGCAGUUGAAACUGGCAGUCUUGAGUACAGUAGAGGUGAGCGGAAUUCGUGGUGUAGCGGUGAAAUGCUUAGAUAUCACGAAGAACUCCGAUUGCGAAGGCAGUUCACUGGACUGCAACUGACACUGAGGCUCGAAAGUGUGGGUAUCAAACAGGAUUAGAUACCCCUGUAGUC